This is a small nucleolar RNA of Tauraco erythrolophus (red-crested turaco), 132 nucleotides long. It matches the Rfam family "Small nucleolar RNA SNORA3/SNORA45 family". Rfam says of the family: The members of this family belong to the H/ACA class of snoRNAs which are thought to guide the sites of modification of uridines to pseudouridines. This family includes mouse snoMBI-28 and human homologues ACA3 (SNORA3) and ACA3-2 (SNORA45). Both ACA3 and ACA3-2 share the same host gene. Lineage: Eukaryota; Metazoa; Chordata; Aves; Musophagiformes; Musophagidae. The record is from Rfam.
ACCGAGACUAGAGUCACAUCUCCACAUGUUCGAUUGUCUUGGUGUGCUGUAGUUCUCGGACAUAAACGUCUGAUCCCUGUUCACUGGCUGCGAUCUCUCGUGUCUCUGCCAGCCACUGAAUCAGUGACACUG